Long non-coding RNA from Astatotilapia calliptera (eastern happy), 2252 nucleotides. The record is from Ensembl. Lineage: Eukaryota; Metazoa; Chordata; Actinopteri; Cichliformes; Cichlidae.
AGAUGGAAGUCUAGACAUUAGUAUAGAUAAGUAAAUAUCAUUAGACUACAGUGGCUUGUGUUAUGACUCUAAACAAGCCUGAAUGACUUACAGCCCCAUUACAUAUUUUAUUUUGUUUAAUGAAGAGCAAUCAAUGCACCAUCUUAAGUCUAUCUGCAGAUGAGGGCUACAUUUGUCAAGAAGAAUAUAAUGCAUAUAUAAAACAAUAUAAACAAACAGUAAAAACUUCAGUAUUAGUAGCAUAUUUAGACUGAAAGUGAGUAGACACAUACAUGUAUACUGUCUUAUUUAUUGUGGUUUUGAUUAUCACUUUUCAGUGUUAAGCUAAUCAAGUUUGCUCUGCCUCAGUUCCCGUUUCUCAUUCAACAAAAUUAUGAAAUCAGGGUGUGUUGCAGCAGGAACUCCUUUUUAGGGUUUUAAUGUUAGGUUAUAAAAUAUAGUCACAAUGAAACCCAAGAGAAAAUACUUUUAAGGGCAUUAAUGAUUGGACCCAUUUCAUAACAUCCGAUCUGUAAUAACACUAUUUGUGCUUUAACUGCGAGGAAAAGAAAAUACUUGGAGGCAAAACCUGCAACCAAGUGCCCCACCUACUGGUAUUUGUUAAUAAAUGUCAAAACAAGAAAGGAUGGGGGAUUUGAGAAACUCAAUGAUGCCACUUUUAUGAGUCUUUACAGUUUAGAUGCAUCUACCUCACAUUAUCUCCCUGUGAUAAGAUUAUGAAUAACCUUUUCACAGAACUGCGUUUCCUUAGUGAUGUGUUACUACAUAACAGAGACAGAAAAAAAUGUACUUGUACUCUGACUUGUAUUUAUGUUUUUUCAAUUUACCCUGUGUGCAACAUUUUUUAAACACAUAUGAUAUUAUACAUAACAUCUGUGAAGGGGUUAUACAUACAUACAAUAUUUUUUCCCUGCUCUGUAAGGCUGCCUGUGGCUUCACUGGUGCCAGAUGUGUUGAGCCAGAGUCAGGAUGUGCCUCCUACUUCAGCUUUACUAAAUUAAGACUUAUGACUCAACUGGCUAGUCAAACAUGUGUGCAAACACAUACACAUACACUUCCUGCUGUGUAGGUGAAAGACUCAAGGCUCUUCCUGGCAUUAAGAAGCAAAGUGGGCAUAGUGGAAAGGAGAAACCUUUGAAUACCAGUCAGGAAAAACUCCUAACAAGGAUAAGAAUGCCACCAAAAAACAAAAAACAAAAAAACAGCACUGCUUCACACCCUCCACAUUCUCCAUGGAAAAGCCUGAACUUUGGCAGAACAAAAACAGAAAUGACACCAUGGGGUAAGAGAGGAGACAGGGGGGAGGGACUAAGCAGAGAUGUGAUACAUCGAGCCACUUAUAUUUUCCGACAAUCUCCUACCACAGAAGUAUGUGCAGGGAGGAAAGCUCUUUCCCUCCCUUUCUUUCACAUACACAUGUUCAGGUAUUUCCUGUUGGGAGUGUGAGGUGGCCCAACAGCAUUAUGGAUGACUGAGUCCUCAAGUGGGCCCCAUUCUUUCUUCCCUGCUCCUGCUUCUCCCUUCAUUUUAAUUUUCACUGCUAUCUCAGCCAGUUUAGUGGUGAUGAGCCUGAGCUAUUUGUUACUUUAUUUGUUUUUCUGCUUUUUUCCCCCUUUUAGUCUGAAAAUUACAUCUGAGAGGUAACUGAAAUGUGGAAAAGAGAGAGAGUAACAACAGAUUAAAAAAAAAAAAAAGGGACAAAUACCUAUAACUGUAUUUAUUUGAAAAAGCUAUUCUCAUUGUAAGUAAGACUUGAGAUAUUCCUUUAAAGUCAGGGAGGCUGGAUCUGCCUGACUUCAGAUCUUUUUUCCCUGGCAGUCCAAUUUAGCACUCUGGUGACAUGGAACAGUCACAAAACAGUCACAAAAUGUAGGAUUUCUACAAGGAACAGCUCAGCCCCAAGGAUGUUUAUCCGUUCUACUUUUCACAAACAAAAUGUCUGGAGGAAAUUAAAGAAUGUUUUGGUUUAACAUACACUGAAGGUCCACCAGUUUUUAUAGAUGGAAGUGGGGUCCAAAAAGAACCCAAAAGUUUUCAAAGAUUAUCAAUUCUGAGUCCAAAAUAAAGAAUUGAAAGAGUUGUAUAAAAAAAACAAAAAACAACAGAUUAGUAGGAAGAGAAAAGAGCAGGGACUACCUUCUGGGUCUUAGUGCAAUUCAGGACCAGUGCUUCACAUCUGGCUUCUAUUGUGAAAGGGAUCGGGUUGCACAAACUCUUCCACAACUCUGCUUAUGUGCGAAAACUGAACCCAC